Notothenia coriiceps (black rockcod) is the source of this 581-nucleotide long non-coding RNA. RefSeq lists it as uncharacterized. The record is from RefSeq and is a predicted model, not a curated record. Lineage: Eukaryota; Metazoa; Chordata; Actinopteri; Perciformes; Nototheniidae. The transcript is spliced from 4 exons.
CAGGAGUGCUGCAUGCACAAAAUGAAACCCAGAACUGUACUGAUUCCAGGCUGAGUGGAGGUUAUGUUGUCCCUGAACAAAAAACGUACCUUCAUGAAGCAACGCUCACUUACGCCUGUGAUAACGGACUUAAACCAGCAGUGGAGGGCUGGUGGGCGACAAGCAUAUGUCAAAAUGGCAAAUGGUCUCCUGAACCCCAAUGUAUUGAAGGAAAAGCCUGUGUGCCACUGACUGUCCCAAAUGGAAACUACGAUGCAAGCACAAAUGGUCGGUAUGGGGAGAGAGACAAAAUCUGGGUUAGAUGUGACGACGGAUAUGAACACAAAGACCAUGACGCCACAGCAGAGUGUAUAAAUGGAGCAUGGUCCUCUGUGCCAAUCUGUGAAAGGAGUACCGAAUCAUGUGGUGAUCCCCCUAAACAAAAACAUGCAGUCAUCAUUGGUAAGGGAUACCAGGAGGUGUUUGCUGCAAGCUCAAAACUGCAGUAUAAGUGUGAAGAUAGAUAUACUGCAGAGCGAGCAGACACCGAAACAAUCAUUUGCAUCUCAGGAAACUGGACUGAAGGCCCAACGUGCAGUAAG